This 73-nucleotide transfer RNA is filed under the name Chlorobiota bacterium. Its description in RNAcentral is "tRNA-Trp". It matches the Rfam family "tRNA". From Rfam's summary of the family: Transfer RNA (tRNA) molecules are approximately 80 nucleotides in length. Their secondary structure includes four short double-helical elements and three loops (D, anti-codon, and T loops). Further hydrogen bonds mediate the characteristic L-shaped molecular structure. tRNAs have two regions of fundamental functional importance: the anti-codon, which is responsible for specific mRNA codon recognition, and the 3' end, to which the tRNAs corresponding amino acid is attached (by aminoacyl-tRNA synthetases). tRNAs cope with the degeneracy of the genetic code in two manners: having more than one tRNA (with a specific anti-codon) for a particular amino acid; and 'wobble' base-pairing, i.e. permitting non-standard base-pairing at the 3rd anti-codon position. The record is from RNAcentral. Lineage: Bacteria; Pseudomonadati; Chlorobiota.
GCGGGAGUAGCUCAACUGGCAGAGCGGCGGUCUCCAAAACCGCAGGCUGGGGGUUCGAGUCCUCCCUCCCGCG